Sus scrofa (pig) is the source of this 72-nucleotide transfer RNA. It matches the Rfam family "tRNA". Rfam says of the family: Transfer RNA (tRNA) molecules are approximately 80 nucleotides in length. Their secondary structure includes four short double-helical elements and three loops (D, anti-codon, and T loops). Lineage: Eukaryota; Metazoa; Chordata; Mammalia; Artiodactyla; Suidae. The record is from Rfam.
UCCCUGGUGGUCUAGUGGUUAGGAUUCUGUGCUUUCACCCCUGUGGCUCAGGUUUAAUCCCUGGUCUGGGAA